GCCCUUAUAGCUCAGUUGGUAGAGCGCGACACUAGUAUCACUACCAGCAAUGUCGAGGUCAGAGGUUCGAAUCCUCUUGAGGGCA
Molecule: non-coding RNA, 85 nt
Organism: Orbilia ellipsospora
Lineage: Eukaryota; Fungi; Ascomycota; Orbiliomycetes; Orbiliales; Orbiliaceae
Source: the annotation of a GenBank genome assembly